AUCCAGCUGACGAGUCCCAAAUUGGACGAAAUGCGCAUCCUGGAU
This is a non-coding RNA of Trichobilharzia regenti, 45 nucleotides long. Lineage: Eukaryota; Metazoa; Platyhelminthes; Trematoda; Strigeidida; Schistosomatidae. The record is from Rfam.